GAUAGGAUGGUCAUGAUAGAUUUCUUUGUGCAGGUGACAUCUUAGCAGUACCCAUAGUGAUAUGGGGGAAAGAACCACGUGGAUUUUGAGUUAUGAUGGAAUAACUGGAAUUAGACUUGCCCUUCUGAAGUAAACAACUAGAAAGCUCUACAACAGUCAUAAGUCAACUGUUUUCAAGCAUUGGAUAAAACAACACUGUGGUCUUUGCGGGAAGAAAAACACAUGAGGAAGUCAGGGACCCCAAACGGAGGGACUGGUUGAAGCCAUGGCAGAAGAACGUGGAUUGUGAAGAUUUCAUGGACAUUUAUUAGUUCCCCAAAUUAAUACUUUUAUAAUUUCUUAUGCCUAUCUUUACUGCAGUCUCUAAACAUAAAUUGUAAAGAUUUCAUGGACAGUUAUCACUUCCCCAAUCAAUACCCUUGUGAUUUCCUAUGCCUGUCUUUACUUUAAUCUCUUAAUCCUGCCAGCUGAGGAGGAUGUGUAUCACCUCAGGACCCUGUAAUAAUUUCACAAAUUAUACAGCUUGUGUGUUUGAACAAUAUGAAAUGUGGGCACCUUGAAAAAAGAACAGGAUAACAGCAAUUGUUCAGGGAAUAAGAGAGAUAACCUUAAACUCUGACCACCGGUAAGCCAGGCAGAACAGAGCCGUAUUUCUCUUCUUUCAAAAGCAAAUUGGAGAAAUAUCACUGAAUUCUUUUUCUCAGCAUGGAACAUCCCUGAGAAAGAGAAUGCACACCUUGGGGUAGGUGUCUGAACUGGCCCCCCUGGGCGUGGUUGUCUCUUAUGGUCAAGACUGCAGAGAGGAAGAGGAAAUUCCCACCUAAUAAAUUUUUGUCAGACUGGUUGAUCUCAAAACUCUGUCUCCUGAUAAGAUGUUAUCAAUGAUAAUGGUGCCCGAAACUUCAUUAGCAAUUUUAAUUUCACCCCGGUCCUGUGGUCCUGUGAUCUCACCCUGCCUCCACUUGCCUUGUGAUAUUCUAUUACCUUGUAAAGUACUUGAUGUCUGUGACCCAUAUCUAUUCGCACACUCCCUCCCCUUUUGAAAAUCCCUAAUGAAACCUCACUGGCUUUUGUGGCUUUUGGGGCAUCAUGGAACCUACCGACAUGUGAUGUCUCCCCCAGAUGCCCGGCUUUAAAAUUUCUCUCUUUUGUACUCUGUCCCUUUAUUUCUCAAGCUGGCUGAUACUUAGGGAAAAUAGAAAAGAACCUAUGUGAAUAUCAGGGCAGGUUCCCCAAUAAUCUACUAUUGAAAGAGGGGUUGGUAAAGACUGAAGAGCAAGAGGUGGCAGUUUUUGGUCUACUUUUCUACCCUUUUCCUGGGGCAUUAACCAUAUGACAAUGGAAGGAUAAAAAAAAACAUUUUAUCAUACCUUAGAAGCAACAUGGAAGUAGGUAUUUUCUGAGCAACAAGAAAACUCAGAGUGUCUACUGUUUGCUGUACUCUUGAGUCCAGACCAUGGUGAAAGCCAUUUCCAACUGUUACGUCUCCAAUCAGCAAUGGAAAUAGAGGGACCCAAGUGACUGAACACGGAGCAUAGAGCUUAGUGUCAGAAGAGGUGAGACCCUCAAUGGGACAGAAAAUAAUUUAAGUGGGCUGAGAGUUAAUAGGGGAAAGACAAGAAGGUCCAACAAAGAAAGGGAUUUUGCUUACCAGGGAGUGAUAGCCAAGUAGAUUUCGAAGGUUAAAUGAGAUGAUUUAUGUCAUAAGUUCUCUGGAGAAAAUGAGUCUGAUGGGGAUGGAGGUGUGGGACUGUCUUAUGGUGUAGAAAAUUACCCCCAAGUCUCAAACACCCUGUGAAUUCUGCAGAGAGAGUACUUUGUCAUUUGAACAUGAAAUAAAGGAUUUCUUUUUUCUUUCCCA
Long non-coding RNA from Pan troglodytes (chimpanzee), 1861 nucleotides. RefSeq lists it as uncharacterized. The transcript has 3 exons. Lineage: Eukaryota; Metazoa; Chordata; Mammalia; Primates; Hominidae. The record is from RefSeq and is a predicted model, not a curated record.